AUCAAGGUGCUUAAAUGUGAACUGAAAUCCACACAGUGCUUCAACAAGUCCAAUCUUGUGCGUCAUAUGCAAGUCAUUUCCAUCCCGCUGGAAGACCUAAAAAAACAAAAACAGGAGUCAAAAUAGAACUGCGAUGCUACGUUUCAACCAGUGCUACAGAAGAAAGAAGAGAGGAACGUGUAGAGCUAUGCAAAACUGAAAAAUUAGCAGUCCUUGACACAGCUUUGAAAAGCUUACAAAGUACCUAAUUUUCAGAUAACCAACAUUAUGUCCUUAAUAUGUGACUGGAAUUUAAAUCUGUACCAAAUGCUACUCUUUAUGUCACAACAGAACUUCCCCCACCACCACCAUUCCAUUCAACAUUUUUUCCAGAGUAGAACACACAAACUAUUUCUUCUUUCAUCGUAGUAAUACCUGGCCUUUCUAAACAAAAGCAUUCAAAAAAAGCAGCAGUCACCUCAACUCUGGCCUAAGGCAGUUUUAACACAGAAAAAGAUAAAUUGCAAUAUUUAAUGCAAAACUGCAAUGUAUAUACUCCAGAAUACAGUAGGCAUAAGCCUUAACAAACUAGUAUAAAAUAA
Aquila chrysaetos chrysaetos is the source of this 581-nucleotide long non-coding RNA. RefSeq lists it as uncharacterized. The transcript is spliced from 2 exons. NCBI's taxonomy places the organism in Eukaryota, Metazoa, Chordata, Aves, Accipitriformes, Accipitridae. The record is from RefSeq and is a predicted model, not a curated record.